UACAGAGGUGGCAAGCGUUGUUCGGAAUUACUGGGCGUAAAGGGCGCGUAGGCGGUCUUGUAAGUCCCGUGUGAAAGCCCCCGGCUCAACUGGGGAAUGGCACGGGAAACUGCGAGGCUUGAGUUCGGGAGAGGGAAGCGGAAUUCCGGGUGUAGCGGUGAAAUGCGUAGAUAUCCGGAGGAACACCGGUGGCGAAGGCGGCUUCCUGGACCGACACUGACGCUGAGGCGAGAAAGCUAGGGGAGCAAACGGG
RNAcentral lists this ribosomal RNA (253 nucleotides) under uncultured bacterium. RNAcentral describes it as "partial 16S ribosomal RNA". It matches the Rfam family "Bacterial small subunit ribosomal RNA", at positions 524 to 776 of the family's 1533-position model. The record is from RNAcentral.